UCCUCUCUUCUUCGUUCUCAGUUUCUCUCUACAGAAACUCUUCUUCUCUUUCUGUUUUCUUAUUCGGCCAGCAACAUUGAAAGGUAGAAAUCUUCCUCUUAAACUCUCUCUUGCUCACCUUCGGCUUCUCUUAAUUCCCAACAGAAGAAUUCUCACUCAAAACUCCUUAAACUCUCUUUUGAUUCUCUUCCCUCUCUUCCUCUAUUUCGGCCAAGCAGGAUAGGAAAUCCUCUCAGUUUCUGCCACACUCUCUCUAGUUACAGAAAACAAAAAGAAAAGAGGAAGAGAACAGCAACAACAUCUCAUUGUAGAAGGUCGACCCUGACGCUAAUGAAAAGUCCAGAUAAUCCAGUAAGAUGAAGUCAUUUCUUUGUAAUGGCGUAGACCUCGCUAAACAAUAGAUCGUUGUAGACCGACCAAACCUUUAUAUUGUAUAGUGUGUCCCUUUUUGAAGUUCAU
Alnus glutinosa is the source of this 459-nucleotide long non-coding RNA. RefSeq lists it as uncharacterized. The transcript is spliced from 3 exons. The record is from RefSeq and is a predicted model, not a curated record. NCBI's taxonomy places the organism in Eukaryota, Viridiplantae, Streptophyta, Magnoliopsida, Fagales, Betulaceae.